CGCGGGGUGGAGCAGUUGGCAGCUCGUCGGGCUCAUAACCCGAAGGUCGCAGGUUCAAG
Molecule: transfer RNA, 59 nt
Filed under: Tumebacillus flagellatus
Lineage: Bacteria; Bacillati; Bacillota; Bacilli; Caryophanales; Alicyclobacillaceae
Rfam family: tRNA
About the family: Transfer RNA (tRNA) molecules are approximately 80 nucleotides in length. Their secondary structure includes four short double-helical elements and three loops (D, anti-codon, and T loops).
Source: Rfam by way of RNAcentral